Molecule: ribosomal RNA, 521 nt
Filed under: Paenibacillus xylanexedens
Lineage: Bacteria; Bacillati; Bacillota; Bacilli; Caryophanales; Paenibacillaceae
Description: bacterial SSU rRNA
Rfam family: Bacterial small subunit ribosomal RNA
Source: RNAcentral
UGCCUAUACAUGCAGUUCGAGCGGAGUUGAUAGAGAAGCUUGCUUCCUCUGAUACGUUAGCGGCGGACGGGUGAGUAACACGUAGGCAACCUGCCCUCAAGUUUGGGACAACUACCGGAAACGGUAGCUAAUACCGAAUAAUUGUUUUCUUCGCCUGAAGGAAACUGGAAAGACGGAGCAAUCUGUCACUUGGGGAUGGGCCUGCGGCGCAUUAGCUAGUUGGUGAGGUAACGGCUCACCAAGGCGACGAUGCGUAGCCGACCUGAGAGGGUGAUCGGCCACACUGGGACUGAGACACGGCCCAGACUCCUACGGGAGGCAGCAGUAGGGAAUCUUCCGCAAUGGGCGAAAGCCUGACGGAGCAAUGCCGCGUGAGUGAUGAAGGUUUUCGGAUCGUAAAGCUCUGUUGCCAGGGAAGAACGCUUGGGAGAGUAACUGCUCUCAAGGUGACGGUACCUGAGAAGAAAGCCCCGGCUAACUACGUGCCAGCAGCCGCGGUAAUACGUAGGGGGCAAGCGUUG